GGGAGACCAUGGGUGGAGGUGAUACGGUGAUAACCUGACUGAUGAUGGCUGGCAAAAAAGGAAGAAAAUGGCUGAGAACCAGCAGCUGAAGAAAGCAAGAAAAUGUGAAUGAAGUCACAAAUGCCACCAAGGAAAAGCAGAACAGAAAAAUAACUUGAGUAUUCAAGAUGGGCAGACUAGUUCAAAGACUCAUCAAGCCUUGUGAAGGGGUGACUCCGAGGCUCAGAUGCUGCCCAAGCCAACCAGAAUUUACCAAGUUCCAAGAAUGACCUUAAAUUCCAAAUCCUUCUGCCCCCAUCAUCUGAGUGCUGGGUUACAGUUGUGUAUCACCACACCUGCCUCUCACCUGGGUCUUUAAAACAAAAGACAGAAGAAGGAAAGGAAGGAAGGAAAAGAAAGAA
Molecule: long non-coding RNA, 401 nt
Filed under: Mus pahari (shrew mouse)
Lineage: Eukaryota; Metazoa; Chordata; Mammalia; Rodentia; Muridae
Description: lncRNA (MGP_PahariEiJ_G0005023.1)
Source: RNAcentral